This is a long non-coding RNA of Amphiprion ocellaris (clown anemonefish), 1828 nucleotides long. RefSeq lists it as uncharacterized. NCBI's taxonomy places the organism in Eukaryota, Metazoa, Chordata, Actinopteri, Pomacentridae. The transcript has 4 exons. The record is from RefSeq and is a predicted model, not a curated record.
CGGCACAGUGGCUCGAUACGUUUGCUUCAUGAGCUACAGCGCAUGUGUCCAAGCCUCGGGUACCAGAGGACCAUCACUACUGGUAGCAUCUCUGGCUGCUGUUGAUCUUGUUUUUGGAGUAAAACACGGUGGAAGCUGAAUUAGUGAGGAUGACUCCUGCUCCUGUCAUCUCUAAGCUCCUCACACAUCUUUACCUGCACAUGAGGAAAAUCACUCCCGUACAAUGCAGAUGUUCAGAGGGAGAUGAUGCCACAUCUGGUCCAGCUGAUGGAAGGUCUUGAAGUUCUCUGACUGGCCUCGACUGAAGAUGGUCGUCUCACUGGAUUUAAGGUUCAGAUGCUCAGUAACAAACUCCACCAAUGAGCCAACAGGGAAGCUUUAGGUUUAUUAAAUGUUGCUAUGAAGGUAUCGCUGUUUUUCUUUGUGAAUGCAAUGUGCUCCAACUGAAACUUGAAUUAGAACUUAGAAGUAAAUCUUUCCAUCUGAAAGGAUUUAGUUGCAUUAAUGACCUCAUAACAUUCUAAUUUUUAUUCCAGUCUUGGCUGGAAAUAGAAUCUCUGUAUUGAUUCAGGUAAAAACUGAACUUCACAGCAUGUUGGAGCAAAACAACCAGAUGAAAACUGUGAUGGUGUUGGAUUGUCAGACCGUAAUGUUGCAGCUCAAAGCAGCUUUUCUAUCUCAGUUCAUUCUGACAUUCAGCUAUGAAUCAACACAGCAGAUGGUGAUCCAUGCUGUGGAAGUCUCACAUCUCCUGAUUUAAUGGAGCUGCUUUGCACUUUUUACACUGUUUAUUCACCAACACUUUAUUUAAUAAAAGUCCCAUCUAGUUUUUAUGAGGAAUGUGAUGUUUUAAUUUCUCUGUGAAUAACUGCAGUCUAAUGGAACAGCUGGAAUUGUAACAUCUGUCCUGAUAUUGAUCAUGAAGUAUUGAUCAGAAUACUUAUGGUCAGCAGUCAUCCCUGAAGUUUUACAUUAAAAUCUUUACUUGUGUUGUGAACUUUAGUAAGAAGCAGAAACGUUAGCGUUGCCAUGGAUACAUGAGUGUUAAAUUCUGUCCUUGUUUCAUUUUGGGAAAUGCAGUCCAGCAGAUGAGUUUGUUUUUACUGCCAGCUACCAUUCAGUCUGAGAUAUUAAGAAUAAAUAAAUAGAAACACAAGUAUCUGAUUGAAGGAACUUCUGCAGAGUCCUGGUUCCAGAACAUGAUGAUAGAAUUAUAGACAAACUUUAACAAAAGCUGCCUGAGAGUUUACAGGUUUUUAUGUUGGAUUUCUUCAGUAAUUUAAUGAGUUAUCAGCAAACAUCGUGUUCAUUUGAUGAACUUCAUUUCCUAAAACAUCCAGAAUUGGAGCUCAUAUCUUUGGCAGCUGUAAAGUUUCUGCUCCUUCAAAGUUCACAACACAAGUGAAUUAAUUCCUAAAACACUCUCAAUGCUGGAGAGCGUUUGUGAUGCUGAAGCAGUGACCAGUUUUUCUGUUUCUUCUCUGGAGAUGCACAAUGAGGGACGUCUGCAGAGACUGAGAAAGAGUCUCACCACAUCCUGACAUGAGGAAAAAGACUUUAUUGAAGACUACAAUGAGAAAAACUAUCCAGACAGCAGACGGCUGCAUUCAAGUCUGUAGCUGCUGAAUUCAUGGAUGAAUCAUCUGGCACUAGAGAAGAAGACCAUCAAACAUCCUUGUCAGCUGAUGGAGGUCCAAGAGUCUCACCGAACAAACAACCUACAGAGUGAAGACCUCAAAUCUGAUUGGACGGCCUCCUGUUCAGCCACGUGUGAACAAAUGCCUCUAAGCUGAUUUGUUUUCUAAAAUAAAUCUAGUUUGAGUCCUAA